RNAcentral lists this ribosomal RNA (253 nucleotides) under uncultured bacterium. RNAcentral describes it as "partial 16S ribosomal RNA". It matches the Rfam family "Bacterial small subunit ribosomal RNA", at positions 524 to 776 of the family's 1533-position model. The record is from RNAcentral.
UACGUAGGGUGCUAGCGUUGUCCGGAAUUAUUGGGCGUAAAGGGCUCGUAGGCGGUUUGUCGCGUCGGGAGUGAAAACCGGGUGCUUAACACCUGGCUUGCUUUCGAUACGGGCAGACUAGAGGUAUGCAGGGGAGAACGGAAUUCCUGGUGUAGCGGUGAAAUGCGCAGAUAUCAGGAGGAACACCGGUGGCGAAGGCGGUUCUCUGGGCAUGUCCUGACGCUGAGGAGCGAAAGUGUGGGGAGCGAACAGG